AAGAUUUAUUUAUUUAUUUAUUUAUUUAUUUAUUUGACAGAGAGAGAGAGACAGCCAGCGAGAGAGGGAACACAGCAGGGGGAGUGGGAGAGGAAGAAGCAGGCUCCCAGCAGAGAAGCCUGAUAUGGGGCUCGAUUCCAGAACGUCAGGAUCACGCCCUGAGCCGAAGGCAGACGCUUAACAACUGCACCAUCCAGGCGCCCCUGCAUGGUUUUUUUCUAAUAUUGUCCUCACUGAAAGAAGCUCAGACCAAGGAACAGAAAAGAAGUUUAAUACGUGGUUCCUAUGGAGACACUGAUGCUUGAUCUACCCAGUUACCUCUGUGUUCAGUUACUGAUGGUCUGUCGCAACUUGACAGAACCGAGAAGGGGUGACAUGCCAAGCAGCCAUGUAGGAGCCCGUGUGGAAGAGGACAAAACCCCAAUCUGCUCAUGAGUCUGAGCCACUCCCUCAAGACGAAGGUCAGAAACAAAGCAGGUACUGGACACAGUGGCCAGUUUCAGGUGCUUUGUGGACAUAUCUAAAACGAGUUAAUUGAGAAGAAACUUCACAUGAUAUUUUCCCGAGUGAGAACAUCCUGAAUUUUAGCUUCUUAAGCUGUUAAGAAGUUAAUGGAUUUUGGGAAUUUUUAUUGUUAAAUAUUCCAGAUAGCUAAUCUCUAAUCAUCAGAUGUCAUAGAAUCUGGUAAAAUUUAUUUGAAUUUUACAACUUAAAAUGCUAACUUUUAAAAAAUAGAACAUAUUGUGUGAUAUAUAAGGCAUAAGUAUUCAAUGUGGUGAAACUUGUUUAAAUUUCUAUUUUCAGAUUUGGGAGGCUACAAUCAAGGUCAUUUGAGAAGUAGGACCCAGUGCGGUGCGGGUGUCCACAAAGAAAUUUACAGACGUGGGAAAGGCUAGAUAAUGAGAAUGCUCCAUAAGGAGGCACUGAAUUUCACCAGGGAGAAAUGCAUCUAAGUUGCUUCACAAACGUUAAGAAAUAUACCUACGUAAUUGUAUGUUGCAUUUUCCAUGGUCUUUGCUUUGUUCAUUUCAUGUGCAGUGAUUAAAAAGAGAUAUUGUACAUUUUAUUAUCUCUUAUGUUGUCCAAUAAAUACAAACCUGGAGUGCUUUUUUUUUUUCUU
Molecule: long non-coding RNA, 1120 nt
Filed under: Ursus maritimus (polar bear)
Lineage: Eukaryota; Metazoa; Chordata; Mammalia; Carnivora; Ursidae
Description: lncRNA (ENSUMAG00000007578.1)
Source: RNAcentral